Molecule: long non-coding RNA, 549 nt
Organism: Diceros bicornis minor
Lineage: Eukaryota; Metazoa; Chordata; Mammalia; Perissodactyla; Rhinocerotidae
Exons: 3
Source: RefSeq, a predicted model, not a curated record
AAUGCAGUGGGGCCUAGCACCAAGGUAGGCCGGCAGGUCUACACACUUCAUCGAGCCACAACAGGGAACUUUCGGACAAUGGAGAGAAGCAAGGCCUUGAUGAGAAUCCCAGGCAGAGGCUGGCAAGGGGAAGGCUUCUUCAUGGACCUCAGGGCAGUGGGCUUGCAGUGUCGGAGCCUGGCACUUUGCCCUCCCGAUAAAGGCAUCUGCCAAAAGACCAUUCUCUACUAUUCUGCCCAACUGUACCCAGAUUUCCAGUGGCUUUCUUCCCACCAAAAACUCCUGCCUCAAGUUUCCCAGUCUCCAGGAAGACUCCUUAAGCAAGAAGCAAAGCACCUACUGCAAAUUAGAUACUUUCAAAUGCGUGAUGUUAUGCCUGGCAGUGAUGUUUGGAACUCCCUUAAGCAGAAGUUUUCCUGAGGAUGGCAGAAUCAAGAGAUGAAAAGAUCCUAGUUCCCUAAGGACAUUGUGGAGCCAUUAAUUUCACCAUGCCUGAAGCCUGCUAUACUCUGGACAUCCUGUUAUUUGAGAUAAUAAAUUUCCUAAUUG